AUGUGAGGGUGUAUUUGUGAGUCAGGAGCUUGUCUAGAGACAGAAUUUACCCCUGAGCAGGUAACUAUGACAUCAGAGACUAUGACAUCAAGGGUGGACUGUGAAUACAGGGUGGGCGGGGGCAGGUCCCACACUUGGAUACCAGCAGCGAUGGGAAGCCAUGACACCUGUGGGGCUGCUCUGCCCUGGUCUUCUCUUCAGCGCCUGGGACUAGCAAUUGUGCCCUUCCACUAUGAAUUGCCUUGGGUUACCUAGGACCCAGCAUAUUCAGGCUCAGACCCUUCCUCUAAGUUGGGACCAUUAAGGGACCCCCCCCAGAAGUGCCAGCAGGGGGGACCUCACUGAAUUGCUCCCCAGAAAUCUAAGGGCAGGCCUAUGGUGCAGGAGCCAAGGGCCUGAAGGUGUAGGCACCUGCCUGGAGGAAGAGGCUGCGCUUGGAGCUUAGCUGGGAAAGUAUCCAACUCCCACAAGGACUCGGGGCCAACACUGAAAAACCUCAAGCUCACCAAAUCUCUCUCCCCUCUCCUGUCCCUUCCCUGUGUCUGUCCUUAAAAGAAGGCAGCAUGG
This is a long non-coding RNA of Mus musculus (house mouse), 567 nucleotides long. RefSeq annotates it as predicted gene, 33704. The transcript is spliced from 2 exons. NCBI's taxonomy places the organism in Eukaryota, Metazoa, Chordata, Mammalia, Rodentia, Muridae. The record is from RefSeq and is a predicted model, not a curated record.